CUACGGGCCGCUCCAGUGAGGAAUUUUGCGCAAUGGGGGGAACCCUGACGCAGCAACGCCGCGUGAGUGAAGAAGGCCUUUGGGUCGUAAAGCUCUGUCAAUUGGGAAGAAGUUACAAGUGUUUAAUAGAUGCUUGUAUUGACGGUACCAAUGGAGGAAGCGCCGGCUAACUCCGUGCCAGCAGCCGCGGUAACACGGGGGGGCGCAAGCGUUAUUCGGAAUUAUUGGGCGUAAAGGGCGCGUAGGCGGUCUUAUCGGUCAGAUGUGAAAGCCCGGGGCUCAACCCCGGACGUGCAUUUGAAACAGUAGGACUUGAGUACGGGAGAGGAAAGCAGAAUUCCUGGUGUAGAGGUGAAAUUCGUAGAUAUCAGGAGGAACACCGAUGGCGAAGGCAGCUUUCUGGACCGAUACUGACGCUGAGGCGCGAAGGCGUGGGUAGCGAACGGGAUUAGAUACCCGCGUAGUC
This 466-nucleotide ribosomal RNA is filed under the name uncultured bacterium. RNAcentral's name for it is "partial 16S ribosomal RNA". It matches the Rfam family "Bacterial small subunit ribosomal RNA", at positions 339 to 795 of the family's 1533-position model. The record is from RNAcentral.